This 305-nucleotide ribosomal RNA is filed under the name uncultured bacterium. RNAcentral describes it as "bacterial SSU rRNA". It matches the Rfam family "Bacterial small subunit ribosomal RNA", at positions 334 to 654 of the family's 1533-position model. The record is from RNAcentral.
GUUGCCUACGGGGCGCAGCAGUCGGGAAUAUUGCACAAUGGAGGAAACUCUGAUGCAGUGACGCCGCGUGAAGGAAGAAGGCUUUCGGGUUGUAAACUUCUUUUGUCAGGGAAGAGUAGAAGACGGUACCUGACGAAUAAGCCACGGCUAACUACGUGCCAGCAGCCGCGGUAAUACGUAGGUGGCAAGCGUUGUCCGGAUUUACUGGGUGUAAAGGGCGUGUAGCCGGGUUGACAAGUCAGAUGUGAAAUCCUGCGGCUUAACCGCAGAACUGCAUUUGAAACUGUUGAUCUUGAGUACUGGAG